AAGUCGAGGGGCAGCAUGGGCUUAGCUUGCUAAGCCCGAUGGCGACCGGCGCACGGGUGAGUAACACGUAUCCAACCUUCCGGUAACUCCGGUAUAGCCUUUCGAAAGAAAGAUUAAUCCCGGAUAGUAUGGUGAUUCCGCAUGGUUUCUCCAUUAAAGGAUUCCGGUUACCGAUGGGGAUGCGUUCCAUUAGGCAGUUGGCGGGGUAACGGCCCACCAAACCUACGAUGGAUAGGGGUUCUGAGAGGAAGGUCCCCCACAUUGGAACUGAGACACGGUCCAAACUCCUACGGGAGGCAGCAGUGAGGAAUAUUGGUCAAUGGGCGGAAGCCUGAACCAGCCAAGUAGCGUGAAGGAUGACUGCCCUAUGGGUUGUAAACUUCUUUUAUAAGGGAAUAAUUGUGGGUACGCGUACCCAUUUGCAUGUACCUUAUGAAUAAGGAUCGGCUAACUCCGUGCCAGCAGCCGCGGUAAUACGGAGGAUCCGAGCGUUAUCCGGAUUUAUUGGGUUUAAAGGGAGCGUAGGCGGGCGCUUAAGUCAGCUGUGAAAGUUUGGGGCUCAACCUUAAAAUUGCAGUUGAUACUGGG
Molecule: ribosomal RNA, 588 nt
Filed under: Prevotella heparinolytica
Lineage: Bacteria; Pseudomonadati; Bacteroidota; Bacteroidia; Bacteroidales; Prevotellaceae
Description: bacterial SSU rRNA
Rfam family: Bacterial small subunit ribosomal RNA
Source: RNAcentral